Molecule: long non-coding RNA, 519 nt
Filed under: Chinchilla lanigera (long-tailed chinchilla)
Lineage: Eukaryota; Metazoa; Chordata; Mammalia; Rodentia; Chinchillidae
Description: lncRNA (ENSCLAG00000027990.1)
Source: RNAcentral
ACUGUUCUCUCAAACUCCUGCCUGUUUUCUGGGGUGGCCAGGAUGACCAGGACGUUCGGAGAGUAUAAAGCAGUGGUGGUGAAUCUGUGGCAUGCAUGCUGCAGCAGGCUGUCUGCUAUUGAAAACUCGGCAAAGUUUGUCUCUCCGGUAUAAAGUGUGCACAUCACUCCAGAAACACCACUUUCAGACCAGAAGCUGUGGCUGAGAUUUCCCCGUCCCAGAUCCCAGCCCUGCCCCUGGCUCUGGCAUGGGACUGAGCAGUUGUUAAAAAUAUUCUGCUUGACCACUGGGGCAGCUGGGAGCUCAGGGGAUGAAUCACUCAGCACAGAGCCCCUGCCUAAUAAGCAGCAAAGGAAAUGGCAAAGACCUGCUCUUCUGAUGCAGAGACCAGCACCACACUUCCUGUCAACCAGCUCCCAAUGGUGCCUAGCAGCAAGACGCCAAAGAAACAAACAGGUCAAAUGUAGAGUCCAAUCACAUUUCCUAGGCUUCAAUAUUUGCUUUUGGUGGAGACUAUUU